AAUGUAGUGGCUGAUAAAAGUAUUAGACUGUAAAUCUAACUAUGGGUAAUUUACCCCUACAUUA
RNAcentral lists this transfer RNA (64 nucleotides) under Triops australiensis. RNAcentral's name for it is "tRNA-Tyr". It matches the Rfam family "tRNA". From Rfam's summary of the family: Transfer RNA (tRNA) molecules are approximately 80 nucleotides in length. The record is from RNAcentral. Lineage: Eukaryota; Metazoa; Arthropoda; Branchiopoda; Notostraca; Triopsidae.